CCUACGGGUGGCAGCAGUAGGGAAUCUUCCACAAUGGGCGAAAGCCUGAUGGAGCAACGCCGCGUGGGUGAAGAAGGCCUUCGGAUCGUAAAACCCUGUUGUUAGAGAAGAAAGUGCGUGAGAGUAACUGUUCACGGUUCGACGGUAUCUAACCAGAACGCCACGGCUAACUACGUGCCAGCAGCCGCGGUAAUAUGUAGGUGGCAAGCGUUAUCCGGAUUUAUGGGGCGUAAAGGGAACACAGGCGGUCUUUUAAGUCUGAUGUGAAAGCCUUCGGCUUAACCGGAGUAGUGCAUUGGAAACUGGGAGACUUGAGUGCAGAAGAGGAGAGUGGAACUCCAUGUGUAGCGGUGAAAUGCGUAGAUAUAUGGAAGAACACCGGUGGCGAAAGCGGCUCUCUGGUCUGUAACUGACGCUGAGGUUCGAAAGCGUGGGUAGCAAACAGGAUUAGAUACCCUAGUAGUC
Molecule: ribosomal RNA, 465 nt
Filed under: uncultured bacterium
Lineage: Bacteria
Description: partial 16S ribosomal RNA
Rfam family: Bacterial small subunit ribosomal RNA
Source: RNAcentral